Long non-coding RNA from Pistacia vera, 1645 nucleotides. RefSeq lists it as uncharacterized. Lineage: Eukaryota; Viridiplantae; Streptophyta; Magnoliopsida; Sapindales; Anacardiaceae. The record is from RefSeq and is a predicted model, not a curated record. The transcript is spliced from 3 exons.
UUCUUUGAAAGUGAGAAUCUUGAUGAUGCUGCAUCGGCAAUAAACGACUUAUAAAGGACUACUGAAAAGUAUUAAUCCACAUCUCACCAGUGCCACUUUGCACUUCUGUAUUCAACAAGAUGAUUCCAUCUACUUUCCUUUCUGUUGCUGUCAGGGAACGAUAAGAUCUUGUUGCAGGCUAUUGAAGAUACAUAUAGCUAGCUCCUUAUUCAUGAGUUGACUUUGCAGAUCUAUCAUUUUCUUCUGAGCACACUAUACUCUGAUGGAAAAUAGAAGGCACUUUGUUAAUAACCAGAGAGAUAAAAGAUUCUUGGUGAAGCUGCAUGUCAAAGCAUAAGCAAAAGGAGUGCCAGAAAGGGAGAAGAACAAUUUUCUGCUUACAAGAUCCACUGAAGUGCAGAAGAAGUUCAGAACAAGAGGUGAGAUAAAUGGUUAAGUUUUCUUUUUCUGUUUGUGUUUCAGGUUUUUUGGUUUUUCUUUAUGGGGUUUGAUGAUAUCAGCUAUAUGAGUUGGUUACUGAAAAUUAAUUGGGGUUCCCACCACCUUUGUCUUCACUAGAAGUUAUUCAAAAUAAAAAUUGAUUAUUUUAUGGACAUCCUUCGUCUGUGGAUAGAGUAGAUCUUUGAAAGUUGAAACUGCUCUGAGAACUUUAGUACCAUAUGCAAAGCUUAUGGUGGAGACAUGUCACAUUGCACAGCCAUUGUUAUUGGCUUUACCAUUAAAAACCUAUCAAACUCCUUUGUGGACCAAACCUCCAGUCACCUUCUUGUAGCUUGGACCCCGUAUAUUUACUCUCACUUUUGCUUCUCUCUCUUGCAGACAAUUUUCUGUGCACAUAUUUUUCACCUCUACUUCAAUAAGAGAAACCCCAAAUCUUUCUCAAAAUAACUUCUUAUUCAUUGAUCAAACUGCUCAUUCACUACCCAUUUUCAGUUUGUGGAGAUCUGUGUGCCCCUGUCACUAUUCACUGUCCUCUAUGCCCAAAACAAUUCUCCAUUAAUCCUUUAGACACCGGAGUUUAGUGUAAUGUUUAGGUAACAUAUAUAAUUAAUCAUAAUGAGGAUUUGUGUAAUUCCUUAAUUUGAUUUGUGGAUCAUCCUUUGUUUUAGAAUCUUUCAGUUUUCUUGUUUGACAAAUUGUUUGUAGUUGUAUGUGAGUUGUUUGGUUAGGCAGAUAUAUAUAUUGUGGCAACAUGCAAAUAGGUCUUUUGUUUGGAGUUUUUGUGUAGUCUGAUAUUACAACUUAAAAGAGUUUUGUAGGUAAAUUGAACUUGCUUCUCCUCUAAUCGCAUUCAUGUGUUGAACCAUUUCUAUCUAGCUAGCAUUAUUGCUUAUAUGACUGCAAUUUUCCUCUGACAAUAUGCUAAAUUCCUCUGUGAAGUAUAAUGGACUGCAAUUGCAUAUUUCACGUCCAAAUUAAAGUUUGAGAUGAUCCCUAUUUGUUAAAAUAGAAAUAAAAAUACUGCUUAAACUAGCUAUUUUGCUGGGUGGUGGUUGUUUAAUUAUGUCUCAUACAAUCUUUUCAUAUAUUUGCUCCAAUUAUUAAUUAAUGACUAAUUACGUUUGUAUGUGUAAUCAAGAAUAAAACCAGAAACGUGUAGGAUUUAUAUAUACUUGCAUGCGUUAGUUUUCAUAGAUACAGUUUU